Molecule: non-coding RNA, 94 nt
Filed under: uncultured Dysosmobacter sp.
Lineage: Bacteria; Bacillati; Bacillota; Clostridia; Eubacteriales; Oscillospiraceae
Description: pemK RNA
Rfam family: pemK RNA
Source: RNAcentral
UAACGAUACUUCCGUCCAGUCACAGCCCCGCGCCAGCGGGAUCACGCAAUGAGGGCGGCUCCGGGAGAACCUCGGAGGGGUGAGAUUCCCAUGA